ACCAAGGGCAGUUUGGAGGUCAGAAACAAGAUGUAGUCAACGAUGUCAGAUUUCUCUUACUGUCAUAAUUUUGCAGGUGCAGUUCUACCUUUCCAAUACCACAGUUUUUUGCAGGAGUAGAUGGAGUCUUUUUCAUGGUCUACUCCCUGGUGUUAACAACCUUGCUUUUUCCAAUGACUUGAGAGUUCUCCUGCCCAACAAACAGAAGAUAAUUUGCUCUCUGAGGUCUGUUGAAAGAUAAACUUUGGCACAUUAAAAUUUUAGAGUUUAUUUGAACGACAACAAUUCUUGAAUGAGGCAACUCUGAACUGGAAGUGUUUUUUUUUUUUCCAGGACUCCUCUAACAGAGCAUGAGAAGGAAGCUUUUAUAGCAUGAUUGAAGAAGCAAGGCAAAGAAAAUAUUUGAUUGGUUACAGUGGAGGAGUAGCCUUAUUUGGAUCAUUCCAGUGGAAAGUCCAUUGUCAGAGGAAUAAAAGCACUCCUAAUGGAACUGGAGCACAGAGGGUGAACAGAGCUUAUAGCUUCCAUAUAGGCCAGCUGUGGGAUCUCAACACAACAUCCCUGAAGCUGAACCCAGUGGAAAGCCCAGAUGAAGCCUGAGAAGAUGCUCUUCCCUUCUCUCAUUAUGUGGCCCUUGAUCAAGGUAACAAUUUGCAUGCCCUAUAUACAAAUAGGCUGUCCCUCGUAUAGCACCCAUCACACACUGUAAUGUAAUGGCGUAGGUACUAUACUUUGCCUCACCUUCAAUUCUGAAUUUUCUCUUCUGUUCCCUUUUAUGUCUUAUCUUCUUUUUGAAAAACUUAAAUGUGCAAUUUAAAGAGAAAAACGCAUUUUCAUGAAAUAUUGCUAUAAGAGGUGGAUACAAUAAUUGAUAAAGGAAAUUAUAGUUUUCUAGACACAAUAAAUGCCUAGAGAUAUAAUAAAUGCCAAAUUACAAUUUCCCUUAUCAAUUUUUUACUGUAUCACUUUUUGCUAGUUAACUCUAUGCUAAUAAACCUAAGGGCAUACAUGAUAAAAUCUAUUUGAGGCCAGAUUUACAAAACAACUAUGAAAGUUCUAAGUUUUGUCAAGGCUGUAGUGCUUUGUCAAGGCUUGGUAGUGGGCACCAAAUCCGUAGCUGUGGUUUUUUAUGGGAUGUGCAUUUGUACUAAGUUCAUCUCUGGCUUUAAUAUGGCCAUUUUAAGGCCAUAUUCUUGUUUUUCUUUCUCAUCCAUUUUUUUCUAAAUGGAAAUAUCUUUAUUGCUUUAUUCAAUUAUGAAGUUAAUUUGUGUUCCAAGAAACAACAUUCAAAUGAUAUCUAAAAGUGAAGAAGAACCUGAAAUAUCCCAAUAAUCUCACACUGACCUCUACUCCCUGAGAAUGUUGGUGUUCUCAUCAACAAUUAAAAGUCUUUUUGAUUUUCAUGUCAUGUCUAUUUUUAAAAUAUCUUUCUAAGCUGCCAUAAAGUCUUUUGCAAUGUAGUAGUAUACUACUGAAUAAUGGAUGAAAUGUUUUUUAACAUUGCUUUACAAUUUACAAAACGCUUUUCACAGUUUGGUUCAUUUAAUCAUCUUAUCAGCAAAGAUCAAUAGUAUCUUCUAAACCAUGGUCAUUUUAUUGUUGCCAAGAAUCUUGCUGAUUUUUUCUGAUUGAAUUUCAUUUUCUUGCCAGUGCUUUUUUUUUUUUUUUUUUUUUUGGUUGUUAGUGCUCAGCAUCCAGUUAGGAGAAAAACUAAAAGUCAUCAGCCAUUAAUUUGGGGGUCGAAAGUAACAGUUGCUUUCAAAUCAUAUUCUAUGGCCAGGCACAGUGACUUACGCCUGUAAUCCCAGCACUUUGGAAGGCGAGGCAGGUGAUCACUUUGAGACCAGCCUGGCCAACGUGGUGAAACUCCAUCUCUACAAAAAAUACAAAAAUUAGCUGGGCAUGGUGGUGGGUGCCUAUAAUCCUAGCUACUCGGGAGGCUAAGGCACAAGAAUUGCUUGAUCCUGGGAGGCGGAGGUUGCAGUGACCUGAGAUCGUGCCACUAUACUCCAGCAUGGGAGACAGAGCAAGACUCUGUCUCAAAAAAAGUUAUAUCCUAUAUCACAAUUCAUUUUAAUUCUCUGAGGGAUUAUUUUACUAUGUUGUUCAUGAGAGGCAAACCAAGUAGACAAAAUCCUGUGCUCUCAUGUCUUUAUUCUCAUUGUAUGAAUUUCCAGUGCUAUCUGGAGAGUCAAUGUUGAAGUUCUGAUUUUCCAGCAAAACUGAAGGGAAUUCUGUCCAUAUAUGCAAACUGAUAUUUCUUUCAUAAUGAACCAGAGAUAUAAUAAAUGUUACCACCUAUAUAGCUGCUUCUACAGAAACUGAGAAUGAUAGUUCAAAACAGCCCUACUUUCCUUUUGUUUGAACACUGAUUUCAAAUAAAAAUAAAAGUUGGUUAUAAUAAGCAGAAACUCUUGCUAUCCAGAUCCAGUGACAGGUGACAACUGAAAAGUGUACGGUUACUUAGAAAACAGAUGACAGUAAUUUACCCUUCUUGUGUUUGCUAAUGUGAUUUUAUAAAACAUGGACAUCCAGCUUCCAGGACUUAUUUUUGGAGACCUUGAAACACAGUCAAGGAACUUCAGAUGUGAGUUUAGAAUAAGUACACAACUGUACUUGAUCCACCAGUUUUCUAGGUAUGCCUGAGAGCAGAAAGAACGUGAACUGCUAUUGUACUGGAUGAUGUGGUAACAAAGCAAAGCACACUAAAACACACAGAAUAUUUUGCUUUUUGAAGGGCAUACUUUUAUAUAGAUGAAAACCCCUAUAAAAUAUGUUGAAUUAGCUGGCUAACACCUAACUAGUAAACCACAACUACUUCCUCUACCGUAUUUUCGAUUAUGCCUUAGAAACUGCAUAUCAGCACUUUAUAGAAGUAAGGGUUCUGAUCAUUGAAAGAUUCUCACUUUGGCUUCAGGAAGCUGGGCAUAACUAUAGAAUCAGUGUUUAUUCUUCACAGUACCCAUCAAUGUGGUUUGCAUUAGAAUAAAUGUUCAGGCUGGGUGCAGUGGCUUACGCCUGUAAUCCCAGCACUUUGGGAGGUCAAGGUAGGCGGAUCAUGAGGUUAAGAGAUUGAGACCGUCCUGGCCAACAUGGUGAAACCCUGCCUCUACUAAAAAUACAAAAAUUAGCUGGGCGUGGUGGUGCAUGCCUGUAGUCCCAGAUACUUGGGAGGCUGAGGCAGGAGAAUUGCUUGAACCCAGGAGGCAGAGGUUGCAGUGAGUUGAGACGGUUUGUGUCACUGCACUCUAGCCUGGUGACAGAGGGAGACUCUGUCUCAAAACUAACUAAAUAAAUGAAUGAAUAAAUAGUCAAUACAGUUCAUCAAACAUUUAUUGAGUGCCCACUGUAUGGUAGGUACUAAGCAAAAAAGACUGGAACAGAAUGGAAAAAUGACUGGAACAGAAUACUCUGCUCUCAAAGGGCAUAUAUUUUAAUAGAGAACAAAAAUUUUGGAGAUAUACAUUUCUUUCAUAAAUGAAUUUUAUGAAACUUAAUUGUGUGUGCUUUGAAAAAAACAGGGAUCAUAUUCUUUACUUCUUUUACAUAUUUUCAUACCGGCUAACAUAAAAUGGAAACUGAAUAUUUUUGUUGACAGACUAAUUGAAGUAUGGAACACUUGUUGCCCAUUCAGGUAAACAGUUUGAGGUCUCCAGAGCAAAGAAACGGAAUUCCUAUGUCUGUUUUUAAACGUAUUUUUUUUAUUCCUUCAUAAUCUGUUGUCCUUUGCUGUAUUAUUUGGACAAAUCCUUCAACACAUGGAGGAAGAAUGACAAUGUCUUAAAAAGGUUAUUAUUAUAUAAGAUUUUCUGUGUGAUAAAACCACACCCAAUGGGCCUCACCCAGACGAGCUUAUAUAUGUUAUUAGAUUCAGGAAUGUUAAGUGUGUUAGAUUUUGUCCCUGUUGGGCAGUCUAUGACGCAAACAGUGACUCUGAAACAAAGCCAUAAUAUAUGGUUUAAACUCUUAACAGUUUGUGAUGUCAUUUUUUCUGUGGUAAGAAAAACAAAUGCUGUCACAUUUUAUAUUUGAGACUCCUGUAAGCCAACAUCAAGAGAUUAAGUAUGCGCA
This is a long non-coding RNA of Callithrix jacchus (white-tufted-ear marmoset), 4071 nucleotides long. Lineage: Eukaryota; Metazoa; Chordata; Mammalia; Primates; Cebidae. The record is from Ensembl.